AUUGAACGCUGGCGGCAUGCCUUACACAUGCAAGUCGAACGGUAACAGGUCUUCGGAUGCUGACGAGUGGCGAACGGGUGAGUAAUGCAUCGGAACGUGCCCAGUUGUGGGGGAUAACUGCUCGAAAGAGCAGCUAAUACCGCAUACGACCUGAGGGUGAAAGCGGGGGAUCGCAAGACCUCGCGUCAUUGGAGCGGCCGAUGUCAGAUUAGGUAGUUGGUGGGGUAAAGGCCUACCAAGCCGACGAUCAGUAGUUGGUCUGAGAGGACGACCAGCCACACUGGGACUGAGACACGGCCCAGACUCCUACGGGAGGCAGCAGUGGGGAAUUUUGGACAAUGGGCGCAAGCCUGAUCCAGCAAUGCCGCGUGCAGGAAGAAGGCCUUCGGGUUGUAAACUGCUUUUGUCAGGGAAGAAAUCCUCUGGGUUAAUACCCCGGGGGGAUGACGGUACCUGAAGAAUAAGCACCGGCUAACUACGUGCCAGCCGCCGCAGUAA
RNAcentral lists this ribosomal RNA (498 nucleotides) under uncultured bacterium. RNAcentral's name for it is "partial 16S ribosomal RNA". It matches the Rfam family "Bacterial small subunit ribosomal RNA", at positions 30 to 523 of the family's 1533-position model. The record is from RNAcentral.